This 468-nucleotide ribosomal RNA is filed under the name uncultured bacterium. Its description in RNAcentral is "partial 16S ribosomal RNA". It matches the Rfam family "Bacterial small subunit ribosomal RNA", at positions 28 to 507 of the family's 1533-position model. The record is from RNAcentral.
GACGAACGCUGGCGGCGUGCUUAACACAUGCAAGUCGAACGGAAAGGCCCUGCUUUUGUGGGGUGCUCGAGUGGCGAACGGGUGAGUAACACGUGAGUAACCUGCCCUUGACUUUGGGAUAACUUCAGGAAACUGGGGCUAAUACCGGAUAGGAGCUCCUGCUGCAUGGUGGGGGUUGGAAAGUUUCGGCGGUUGGGGAUGGACUCGCGGCUUAUCAGCUUGUUGGUGGGGUAGUGGCUUACCAAGGCUUUGACGGGUAGCCGGCCUGAGAGGGUGACCGGCCACAUUGGGACUGAGAUACGGCCCAGACUCCUACGGGAGGCAGAAGGGGGGAAUAUUGCACAAUGGGCGGAAGCCUGAUGCAGCAACGCCGCGUGCGGGAUGACGGCCUUCGGGUUGUAAACCGCUGUCGCCUGUGACGAAGCGUGAGUGACGGUAAUGGGUAAAGAAGCACCGGCUAACUACGUG